AUAAGGAGAAAAUGAAAAUAUCCAAAAAGAAAAUAGAAGAAGAAUGCACAGAAGUGGAAAAAAAUUAAAUUGGAAAAGAAAAAUAAAAGAAGAGCGCGAGCGAGAGAGCGAGAGCCGAACCUUCGAAGAUUCGAAACCCAGUCACUCGGGUUCGAUUUAUCUGCAAUUCGUCAAGGUCAGAGCUCUCUAUCAAUCUCCCACCCUCUUUUGUGUACUCCCAAGUCUAGCUUUUCGCUCUUCAUUGUGCUUCAUUCUUCUGCAAUUCGUUUUUCUGCUAUCUCCUGCCAUGUUUCCUGCACUCAAUUCGUCCAACUCCCUGAUCUCUUUUAUUCAACUUCGAAUUUGGGACUUUGAAGUUUGAAACAUUUUGAAUUUGGCCAAAAGAAUGAGGGGUUUUCAUUGGUGCAGUGGUCCGAUUUGUGGUUCGUGCAGUGCGUGAGAAGGCACGGUGCUGUGGGCCCAAGUUUGGUUAUUCAAGCUUAGGGUUUUGGACGUGCAUGGUUUUCAAAAAACUUCAGCUUGAUUCGGUGGGAUUUAGUGAGCUCCGUAGUCGGUUUGAUCUCUAGGGUUUUGGUUUCGGAAAAAUGAGAUUUGGGUUCGCAUUGUAUGGUUUGUGGGUUGGUGAAUUCGCAGUUGUUUGGAAAUAAGGAUACUGUCAAUUGGUUAUAAAUUGGGGUUUCGGGGUUUUGGGGAUUCGUCGGAUCCCGCUGUGGAUUUGCAUUCAAUGAUAUGUGGGAGGGUAAUUUCUUGGUCGUUUGGAGAACGAGAUAAGUGUGAUUUGGGAUAAACUGGGGUUACUGUUGGGCUUGUGAUUCUACGGACGGUGUAUGAAUCUGUGGCUCGAGACAUGCAACCUCUGCAGAGCGCCAGAAUUGAUUUGGUUGACUUGAAAGCUCAGAUAGUGAAGAAGCUUGGGGUGAAUAAAUCAAAACUGUACUUCCAUCACUUGAAUAGGUUCUUGAGCGAUAAAUUGGGCAAGAGUCAGUUUGAAAAUUUUUGUAUUCGGGCUUUUGGGAGGGACAAUCUUCCACUGCACAAUCAACUCAUAAUUUCAAUCUUGAAGAAUGCAUGCCAAGCGAAGACCCCGCCACCAAUUCAUUUAACUGGCCCCCAAAAAUUAGGGAUACAAGCUGCAAACAGUUCUGGUGGGGAAGAUGGGCAUGAACAAAGUGGGGUAAUUUUUCCAGGUCAGAAUCAGAAUGUACCUGUGUGGUCUAAUGGGGUUCUGCCAGUGUCCCCGCGAAAGGGUAGGUCUGGGAUACGUGAUCGGAAGCUCAAGGAUAGACCAAGCCCACUUGGACCAAAUGGGAAGGUCGAGUGUGUUUCACAUCAGUCCAUGGGAACAGAAGAUGGCAGUAGUAAGUUUAACAUGGAAAAUGGGGAUUUGACAUGUGAUUAUCAGAGAUCAGUGCAGCAUCUUCAAACAGUUGCUGAGCCACAUGAGAAUGAGAGGGAGGGUGCUGUCCAGCGACCUGCAGAGAAGCCAAGAAUACAUUGUAAGGAUCAGACUGCAGUAGCUGUCAUUGAUGAUCAGGUGGAGCAGUCAAACCGGUUGAGAUUCUAUAGAAGUCACCUACUUGCCCCCCUAGGAAUUCCAUUUUGCUCAGCUAGUGUAGGCGGGUCCCGUAAAGUUAAUCCAUUCAGUAGCAGUGGUGAUUUUGUUAGCUGUUAUGAUAGUGGUGGGUUGUCUGAUACAGAGACACUGAGAAAACGUGUGGAGCAGAUUGCGGCAGCACAGGGCCUUGGUGGCGUUUCCAUGGAAUGUGCUAAUACGUUGAAUAAUAUGUUGGAUGUGUACUUGAAGCACUUAAUCAGGUCUUGUGUUGAGUUGGUGGGAGCAAGGUGUUCACGUGAACCAAAAAAGCACCCUGCUCACAAGCAGCAGAUUCAAGGCAAAAUUCUCAAUGGUAUGUGGCCAAGUAAUCAUUUACAUAUGCAGAGCACAGGUGGGCCUAUGGAAGUUAUGCAGGAGCAAGGACCCCACUGCUCAAUAUCUUUGCUUGAUUUCAAAGUUGCUAUGGAGCUGAAUCCUCAGCAACUUGGGGAAGAUUGGCCAUUACUGCUGGAGAAAAUUUGUAUGCAAGCAUUUGAGGAAUGACACUUCCCUACAGAUCUUUGCUUAUUCCAAGACUUGGUUGGUUUGGUAUGUUCUGGUGCAAAGGGGUGGACAACCAUUGUUGGAGAUAAUUGUUGCACUAAGUUCUGUUCUUACUGCCAAGAUGAGCAGAUUUCUCCAAGUUGCCUAAAGCUCUGGCCCUUGCAAAUGAAUUGUGGUCGUGAGCAUUAAAAUGACUGUAUUUGCCUGCUGCAGAGCAUGGCUGGUCGGGAAAUUAUUUAACUGCAACCAAGCAAGGGGCUCCUUUAAAUAGAAUGCCCGUGAUUGGUUGCUCUGUUGUAUCUUUAGCAUUGAUCUUGGCAGUAUUUGCCAUCUCUACAGAUCUCAAGCAUUUCCUGUAAUUUUCAGCCAAUGUGGAGGAAAACUAAGAGAGUUUUACCAGGAUACUGUUGUGUAGCGUGGUGAAAGGGGAAUCUGGAGCAAGGUAGUCGACUUACUAGCAAGUUGGAGACGCAUCCAAGGUGAUUCUCAAAUUGCAGCCACGUGGAAGAGGGUAUUGAUUUGUCUAUGGCGGCAUGUGGAUGGAGAGAAAUGGAGCUUCGAUGAUUGCAAACGGACCGUGGAUGAACUUAGAAUGUUUUUUUCUUAGUACCUUAUGCCAUUGUCAAUUGUAAUAUAUUUUAAUGGCAUGAACAUUCAUGACUUCCUUGUAUUUUCAGACAAUCAUGCAUGAGUGUUGCUCUUGUAUAUAUCCCAUAUACUUGGGCUAUGCCUAUUUUUCUUAUUAGUAAAAUUCUACGUUACUGGAAAAAAAAAAAUCUGGAGCAACUUGGAAAAGACUGAUCAUUUUGGCUUGAGAAAAAAUAUACCCAUGCUUUCGUUGUUGAUACACCCAGUAUCCUUAUCACUAAUGUAAUAAUUUAUCGCUAUUGCGUUCAUGAGCCUUACGUCUAAAGUUAUACUUAGAGAUCCUGCAGCUUAGAUUUAUUUCAGGUCUCUUAAUUUCUCUAUUCGAAUUACAAAUUGACACAUCAAGUUGGAUUUUUGCUGCUUGUAUGAAGGGCUUAGAUCUGUCCUUGGACACUGCUGAAGUUGUCAUUUUUCUAUGACGAUGAGGAAUUGGGUUGCUCCAGGUCAAAGAUAAUCUGCAAGAUGAGUGAGGAAUUCAUGUCAGAGGCAUUCGCAGAGAGCGCUCAUCGUUUAUUAAGCGAGGACCUAGUGGCAGAAAGAGAGAGAAUGUGCGCGCUACUUGUUUGUGGGGGGUUAAGCAUCUGAGCUCCAUGACAACGUUAUACUCAUGCACUUCUAUGUUCUCUAUUGUUUGUGCUCAUGAGCGUGCUGUUGCUGUUCGCAUGUCAUACUUCCAGAUUGCAGAGGUUGGUUCCUUGAUUUCCUUUGCAUCUCAGUCGAUGACAUAGUUUUAUUUGUUUCUGUAAUGAUUUAAGGAAACAAUUUCAUCUAUUAGUUUUGAUGAAAAUAUUACAUAGAUUUCCUCUUUCAUGUUUUGGUGAAAUAUUUCCCAAAUUCGUGUGGAAAUUGAGAUGAA
Carya illinoinensis is the source of this 3602-nucleotide RNA transcript. RefSeq lists it as uncharacterized. The record is from RefSeq and is a predicted model, not a curated record. NCBI's taxonomy places the organism in Eukaryota, Viridiplantae, Streptophyta, Magnoliopsida, Fagales, Juglandaceae. The transcript is spliced from 3 exons.